This is a non-coding RNA of Aegilops tauschii subsp. strangulata, 3788 nucleotides long. The record is from RefSeq and is a predicted model, not a curated record. Lineage: Eukaryota; Viridiplantae; Streptophyta; Magnoliopsida; Poales; Poaceae.
AAUACAAACCAGCAUGUCGUGGGCUGCGCAUCUAUAUACUACUAUUAAUAUACUACUAUUAAAGGAGCAAACAUGAAUUAGUCUAAACCACCAAACUUACUGUACACAAGAAAACCAGCACCGUCAGAUCUACUCCACUUAAUUAUAUCUGAGUGCCCGUAUUACUUCGGUGGUCUGCCAUCGAAACGAAUGGAGAAGAUUGAAUGUUCUACCAGUCUGCCAUCACGUCUCGGUUGCAAAAAAAACACACAUCACGUCUCCAACCUCAACCAUAGCGCCCCCUCCCCCAGCCGCCACAGAACUCCUCCCUAUUCCCAUCGCCGCCACCGCCGCCUGUCGUUCCUCCUCUGCUAUCGAGGGCGCGAGCGAACGGAACCAACCACCGAAGUAACCGGAGCGGAAAACAGCGGUGGAAUGGGGAGAUGGCGUUUGCGGCGGCGGGGGAGGAGACGGGGCGGGCGUCCUACAUCCGGGAAGGAUCCCAAGGGCCGGGUCAUCUCCGCCACAACGCGCACCGAUGUCGCGGCGCGCCUCGGCGAGCUUCGCGACCAGAUCCUCGCCCGCCGCGCCUCCUUCACCAACCUCGCCGCCCAACACUCCGGCUGCUCCUCCGUGCACGCGGCAGCGACCUAGGUAUACCUCCACUUGCCCCGCCUACGCGCUCUGCAGGCUGUCAGAUAGGGUCUCGGAUCGUGGAGAAUCGGGAUGCACCAACCCAUGAAGAGCUCGACAGCGCGGAGGUCCUCUCCGGUCAGGACUACGUGACCAGCCCUAGAUGCACCGCUGAGCCAAGAACUUCUCUGUUCUUUUUCUUCUUCUGUUAACCAGCCAAAACAUUUUUUCUGAAAACAAUCUGGUUUGUGAUGAACCAACAACACAAAUAAUGGUUCUCUCCGGCUCUUUUCUUCAAAGCAAUCUGAGGAAAGGGUGCGAAGGAAAUUGGAGCAUAGGCAUAGGCAACGGAAAAUUGCUCAGGAAUAUCUCCAUCUUAUGCUUACUGCUUUGAUGCACAGUCACUAUAAAAAGGGUCAAAACAAUUAGUGAGAUACUUCUCUGGAUAUAGAGCUCAUUGACACACGCCUAUAGUAUGUGGUUGAACAUUCAUUACCUUGUGGUUGGUACUUUGUCCCAGCCUCCCAAUCUUAAAUCUGAAGUUGUUCUGUAUGGGGGAGUAUUGUAUGACUGUGUUUCCAGGCUUAAAUCUGAAAUUGUUGUGUACUAUAUGUGCAUGCAGUGUGUAUGGUAUAACCAAUCGAUGUGCAGAAGUUAGCAUGAACCGAAGGGCAAUCAGUGCGCCACCGGAAGGCUCGGCAGUGCUUAUCGCCGGAGCUACACUACCAGCAAUGGCAUCCAAAUCUUCAAUAACGAUCAAGGUAUAUACAGUGUACACACAAAGAGGUCCACUUGUGAUUAUCUAAUUAUUGGAUGCAUCAGAUUAACGUGUUGAAUGAAUCACAUGUGUAUACUUAAGACAAAUGCAUUAAUGAUUAGUCAUUUUUCUGUUUAUCCAUUAUACAUGUCCUCCAAGGUAACCAUGUACACUUGAGCCCAAGUACAAUGCUGCCAUCUAACGCCGCCUGCAAUUUUUUAGCUCCAGGAACUUGGACCGUCCUGCAAGAAGAAUUAGUUGAAAAGGUUGGUCUAUGCUACUUGUCUAAGGCUGAGUAUAUGCUCUUUGUUGUUAAUUGCAGUGAUAGUAACUAUGAUUGAAUUGCUAAGGUGAAAAACUGACAACUAUUUUGCUUGAUGAGCUUACUCUUGUUCAUCACAUUGCAUACCUCUUACAUGGAAAUCAUCGAAUGUUCACACAUAUGUAUGUCCUUUCGUUCUCAUUUCCUACUUUUUAUUUCGAUCUUCCGUUUUGUGUGGAUAAUCCAAUUUCUUAUAUUGUCAAUGGAUCUAAAACAUUUUCACUUCUGAAUCAUAUUUCAAACUGAUAGUGCAGCUUCGAUGGCCUUUUAUUCCAUGCCGACAACUGUAUUUUGUACCAUUAAAAAGAUAUAACUACAUUUUAUUCCUGAGAGAGCAAUCUUAUAGGGGAAUAUAGUGUUUUGUUUGUGCACUCUCAUUUGGCAUCUUACUAUUUGUCUAUGUAUGACAGUUCUCACAUUAGAUGAUGCAGAAUAUGUGUAUAUUUUUACCAAGGAGUUCUAAUGAUUUGAAGACUGCAUAUGUGCAGAUCUAGAAACUCUUUCUUCCCCAGAUGGGCAAUGGGUCAAGCCGAUCCGUCGUUGGCUCUGAAAGUGCACAUGCAUUGCUUCUGUACACUACUAAUGAUUCGAGGAUUAUAUUUCUUAAUAACCCAAUUUUUUUUACUGUAAUGGCAACCAUGAUCAACUUUACAGAAAGCCAGGGUUAGUCACAAUUGUCUUUUAUUUCCUCACAAAGGUGCUAGGUACAGAUCAAAUUAAUGUUUACACUCGAACAAAUACAGAAUUGUGUUUGAUCUUCAGAUAGAGGCACCAAUUGGGAGGUAACUCACACUACUCUAAACACCUUAUUCUUAUAGUGUAACCAUAACAUAUUUUGCAUCAGGAGAUCACAAUUUACUUGAUUCACAUGCAUUUCUUACCACACGCAUAACUGGAAACCUUGGUCUGUAUGAUGGGGACCCUGGAACAUAAGGUGGAUAAAUACAGUAGGUUAUGGAUAUAUCGGAAGCUGUUCAUCACAUUAAUUUUUCUCAAUGGAUUCAUAUUAAGGCCGGGUCUAUCUGAAUGUCCAACAUAUUCUGUGGCUGCAACUGUACGUCAGGGGGAGUUACGGUUAUCUCAAAUCUAAUGGCAGCCAAUUUUUUUGGACUUAUUGAGUGUUUGCAUCUCUUGGUCAUAUAAAUCUUAAAGUCAGUCGACCAAUGAACUUUCAUAAAUCUUAAAGUCCGGCUGACUCCGUGGGGAGGCUGCUCUGGCUCAGGACUCUGCUCCCCGACACGGAUGUGGUGCGGGGUGGUGCGCGCGGAGCAGACCUUCCUCGCCAACCGAUUUGGAGGGUUGUACUUCCCCUAUGGUACUCUCUUCCCUGUAGGUUCCGGUUGAUGGCAGCUCGAGGUUGUCGGAUCUGGAGCAGAAGAGAUAGAUAUUGUAGGAUUGGGACCGGAGGAAACUUUGGUCGACUGGCCCAACAGUGGUGACGUCUCUCGAUGUCGUUUUCCUCCUUGGAGGCACAAUCGAGGUCCCUCCUAUCCACACCCGACCCCCUCCCGGAUGGAAGUCCAAAAUCUGCCUUGGAUUGGGCGGCGGCGGCAGCACCAUGUGUGUCGUACCCUCCAUGGAGGCGCCGUCUUGGGAGGCUUGGGUUUACGGGAAAGGGUUGCUGUAGGUGGUGGGCUCCGGGUGACAAGGGCUUGAGCGACGACGGUGGGUGGAGGUUGGCAGGUGGAGCGGCGUGGCAUCUACCGCGUCGAUGACGGUGGGUCUUGGCAGCAUGGUGCAGCUGAGUCUCGGCGACAGAUGCAUCCGGAUGGACGAGUGCAGGGCGGUGGCACUGUUUGGCGCCGUGGGAUGUGGAGAGAGGUUUUACGGAUUGUACUUGUACAGAAAGAGAGCAGAUUGUGUUUCUUUUCAGAAGAUACUUUUUGCCAGCCAUUGUGUUGCUUGCAAGCAGAAUACUUGCUGAUUCUACGGAAGGUGUAAUUUUUACUGAUUCUGCGGAAGGUGUAAUUUAUAUUGUGUCAGUCCUAACGUUAGUAUAUGCAACCUAACAUGUUGAAUUUACCACAAUGAGAACAGAAAGAAUUUAAUGUUGUAUAUGGUGUUACAUGUCAUAAUAUGUUUACCUGUUAGUUUGUU